RNAcentral lists this ribosomal RNA (449 nucleotides) under uncultured Caldilineaceae bacterium. RNAcentral describes it as "bacterial SSU rRNA". It matches the Rfam family "Bacterial small subunit ribosomal RNA", at positions 919 to 1382 of the family's 1533-position model. Lineage: Bacteria; Bacillati; Chloroflexota; Caldilineae; Caldilineales; Caldilineaceae. The record is from RNAcentral.
ACCCGCACAAGCAGCGGAGCGUGUGGUUUAAUUCGAUGCUACACGAAGAACCUUACCUGGGCUUGACAUGUACGUCGUAGGGAACCGAAAGGUAACCGAUCCUUCGGGAAGCGUACACAGGUGCUGCAUGGCUGUCGUCAGCUCGUGCCGUGAGGUGUUCGGUUAAGUCCGACAACGAGCGCAACCCUUGUUGCCAGUUAUACUUUACUGGCGAGACUGCUGGCAUAUAACCAGAGGAAGGUGGGAUGACGUCAAGUCAGUAUGGCCUUUAUGUCCAGGGCUACACACACGCUACAAUGGCCGGUACAGAGGGUAGCCAAGCCGCGAGGCGGAGCCAAUCCCAGAAAGCCGGUCUCAGUUCAGAUUGCAGGCUGCAACCCGCCUGCAUGAAGUCGGAAUCGCUAGUAAUCGCGGAUCAGCUUGCCGCGGUGAAUACGUUCCCGGGUCUU